GACGAACGCUGGCGGCGUGCUUAACACAUGCAAGUCGAACGGAAAGGCCCUGCUUUUGUGGGGUGCUCGAGUGGCGAACGGGUGAGUAACACGUGAGUAACCUGCCCUUGACUUUGGGAUAACUUCAGGAAACUGGGGCUAAUACCGGAUAGGAGCUCCUGCUGCAUGGUGGGGGUUGGAAAGUUUCGGCGGUUGGGGAUGGACUCGCGGCUUAUCAGCUUGUUGGUGGGGUAGUGGCUUACCAAGGCUUUGACGGGUAGCCGGCCUGAGAGGGUGACCGGCCACAUUGGGACUGAGAUACGGCCAAGACGGCUACGGGAGGCAGCAGUGGGGAAUAUUGCACAAUGGGCGGAAGCCUGAUGCAGCAACGCCGCGUGCGGGAUGACGGCCUUCGGGUUGUAAACCGCUUUCGCCUGUGACGAAGCGUGAGUGACGGUAAUGGGUAAAGAAGCACCGGCUAACUACGUG
RNAcentral lists this ribosomal RNA (468 nucleotides) under uncultured bacterium. RNAcentral describes it as "partial 16S ribosomal RNA". It matches the Rfam family "Bacterial small subunit ribosomal RNA", at positions 28 to 507 of the family's 1533-position model. The record is from RNAcentral.